This 270-nucleotide ribosomal RNA is filed under the name Acetobacteraceae bacterium D06_21. RNAcentral's name for it is "partial 16S ribosomal RNA". It matches the Rfam family "Bacterial small subunit ribosomal RNA", at positions 54 to 345 of the family's 1533-position model. The record is from RNAcentral. Lineage: Bacteria; Pseudomonadati; Pseudomonadota; Alphaproteobacteria; Acetobacterales; Acetobacteraceae.
UUACCAUGCAAGUCGCACGAACCUUUCGGGGUUAGUGGCGGACGGGUGAAGUAACGCGUAGGAACCUAUCUGGAGGUGGGGGAUAACAUCGGGAAACUGGUGCUAAUACCGCAUGAUGCCUGAGGGCCAAAGGAGAGAUCCGCCAUUGGAGGGGCCUGCGUUCGAUUAGCUAGUUGGUUGGGUAAAGGCUGACCAAGGCGAUGAUCGAUAGCUGGUUUGAGAGGAUGAUCAGCCACACUGGGACUGAGACACGGCCCAGACUCCUACGGG